This 422-nucleotide ribosomal RNA is filed under the name uncultured bacterium. RNAcentral's name for it is "bacterial SSU rRNA". It matches the Rfam family "Bacterial small subunit ribosomal RNA", at positions 355 to 774 of the family's 1533-position model. The record is from RNAcentral.
UAAGGAAUAUUGGUCAAUGGACGCAAGUCUGAACCAGCCAUGCCGCGUGGAGGAUGAAGGUCCUCUGGAUUGUAAACUUCUUUUAUCUGGGACGAAACACUUCUUUUCUAAGAGGCCUGACGGUACCAGAUGAAUAAGCACCGGCUAACUCCGUGCCAGCAGCCGCGGUAAUACGGAGGGUGCAAGCGUUAUCCGGAUUCACUGGGUUUAAAGGGUGCGUAGGUGGGUAUGUAAGUCAGUGGUGAAAUCCCCGAGCUUAACUUGGGAACUGCCAUUGAUACUAUAUAUCUUGAUUACCGUAGAGGUAAGCGGAAUAUGUCAUGUAACGGUGAAAUGCUUAGAUAUGACAUGGAACACCAAUUGCGAAGGCAGCUUACUAUGCGGUGAUUGACACUGAGGCACGAAAGCGUGGGUAGCAAACA